GUAUCCCCUCUCGCAGCAACAGGUCACACCACACGCCUUUUCGAAGGAAGUGGGUAAACAGCACUAAGACUACCACCUUGCCUUUAAUUUCCAGAAGUGGUAUUACACUUAACAAAUGAACAAGGGAUAACAAUUGCUGUUUCAGUCCAGACCCAAUUUCACCAAAUAAUUUCACUCAAGAGCUAUUAUUGACAAGCACCGUGGGCUCAAUGGUGUCAAGUUGUACUUGUGGUUUCAACACCCCGCAGCAACCCACGUAGCCGCUGGGCCCUGGAUUAGGACCCCCAGUCUGGCAGUGCUUAUCUGCCCGUCUGAGUGAUGGAGAGAUGAGUAUCAGUCUAUACCUCAACUGCUUCAAGCCCGCCUGGGCUUUCUCCCUGGCGCCUUUGUCUGUGUCAGGGUUGGAGCAACGAAACUGAAAGAUCUCCAGAGUUUGAAAACAGAGUGAAAGAGCAAAUUUAAUAAAUGAGAGCUCAGCCUUGAAUCUUAGUCUUUAUUAAUAGAGUCAUGUCCCUCACACCCAAAUAACUAUCAAACUUCAAACCACAUGUACUGUUUUUCAGAGUUCGGGUUCUUUCCUGGGUUCAUCAUGAAAGGUGUGAGGGAUGAAGGGGAAAAGGGUCUGAGGAGUUGGCAGG
Molecule: long non-coding RNA, 638 nt
Filed under: Homo sapiens (human)
Lineage: Eukaryota; Metazoa; Chordata; Mammalia; Primates; Hominidae
Description: HSALNT0316585
Source: RNAcentral